This is a long non-coding RNA of Cydia splendana, 168 nucleotides long. RefSeq lists it as uncharacterized. The record is from RefSeq and is a predicted model, not a curated record. The transcript has 2 exons. Lineage: Eukaryota; Metazoa; Arthropoda; Insecta; Lepidoptera; Tortricidae.
AAAAAAUGUUAAUAUUAAAUUUGGUUCACAGGACUCUUAUUGCGUACAUCUUACUUCCUGGGAGUGAUUUUUGGUGAUUUCUGUUGUGGAUAAAUCGAGCAAAGGAAAUAAUGUUAUUCGACCAAUCGAUGAAACUUUUGCUAUUAUACGCUCCUGAAUAUAAUAAUU